CGCAAUUAACCCAGAUAAGCUUCUCAUCGUCUUCUUUCGGAAACUCGAAUCUGAUCGGUGUCACCUCUCAUUGUAUGUGAUCAUUGUAUGUGUAUAGGGAUCUUGAUAUAUUGAUGGAAGUAUCACCCAUCGUUGUAUUCACACCAUAGUACGUUUCGAAGUAAAUAAUCCAAUAUCUGAGUAUAACGUAACCCUGUACACUACAAUAUCAUUGAUCGAUUCAAUGAGUUUGAUGGAGAGAGGAGCUACAAUGAUAACUUCAAUGAGGGUGAUCGAUCAGAAUACGAGUACCUGGUUCACGGUUUCUUAGGUCAGUAGGUCACUCGCUCUACAUACGACCCUCUCCCUCCUCGACACUGCACUAGAAGGGACCGCACCGUUGUGGGUGAAACGGACAGCUGGAGGGGAGCUUCCAACCAGAACCACAGCAGCCACGAAGAGGGUCGAAGGACGGAGACGAAGGGGAAUCAGCCGCCACGGGGGUAGAGACCACGAAGAGGGCCCGGUCCAACCAGAAUAACAGCAGCCACGAAGAGGAUCGAAGGACGGAGGAGACGAAGGGGAAACAGCUCUCACGGGGGUAGAGACCACGAAGAGGGCCGGUCGUUGCCCCUCACGUUGGUAACAUUCCUCGUUUUAAAAAGUGAACUCCCUCGUAAUAUAAGACGAACUUUGAUACACUGUCUGCAUGCGAAACCACUACAGAGGGACCGUACCUACCACAACUGACACCGCUGUAGAAGCUGUACCGAUCUAUCUACCGAUGGGUAC
This 771-nucleotide ribosomal RNA is filed under the name Triticum aestivum (bread wheat). RNAcentral's name for it is "partial small subunit ribosomal RNA". Lineage: Eukaryota; Viridiplantae; Streptophyta; Magnoliopsida; Poales; Poaceae. The record is from RNAcentral.